This 329-nucleotide ribosomal RNA is filed under the name uncultured eukaryote. RNAcentral describes it as "partial 18S ribosomal RNA". It matches the Rfam family "Eukaryotic small subunit ribosomal RNA", at positions 1470 to 1796 of the family's 1831-position model. The record is from RNAcentral.
CCCUUAGAUGUUCUGGGCUGCACGCGCGCUACACUGAUGCGUUCAACGAGUUUAUGACCUUGCCCGAUAGGGUUGGGUAAUCUUUUUAAAUCGCAUCGUGAUGGGGAUAGAUUAUUGCAAUUAUUAAUCUUCAACGAGGAAUGCCUAGUAAGCGUGAUUCAUCAAAUCGCGUUGAUUACGUCCCUGCCCUUUGUACACACCGCCCGUCGCUCCUACCGAUUGAAUGUGUUGGUGAGGAGCUCGGAUUGGCAGCAGUUGGUGGUUCGCCACCGGCUAUUGCUGAGAAGUCCUCCAAACCGCCCCAUUUAGAGGAAGGAGAAGUCGUAACA